Molecule: ribosomal RNA, 256 nt
Filed under: uncultured bacterium
Lineage: Bacteria
Description: partial 16S ribosomal RNA
Rfam family: Bacterial small subunit ribosomal RNA
Source: RNAcentral
UACGGAGGGUGCGAGCGUUGUCCGGAAUCAUUGGGCGUAAAGGGCGCGUAGGUGGCCCGGUCAGUCUUUGGUGAAAGCGCGGGGCUCAACCCUGCGUCGGCCAGGGAUACUGCCGCGGCUCGAGCACUGUAGAGGCAGGCGGAAUUCCGGGCGUAGCGGUGGAAUGCGUAGAGAUCCGGAAGAACACCGGUGGCGAAGGCGGCCUGCUGGGCAGUUUAGCUGACACUGAGGCGCGACAGCGUGGGGAGCAAACAGG